RNAcentral lists this ribosomal RNA (253 nucleotides) under uncultured bacterium. RNAcentral's name for it is "partial 16S ribosomal RNA". It matches the Rfam family "Bacterial small subunit ribosomal RNA", at positions 524 to 776 of the family's 1533-position model. The record is from RNAcentral.
UACGUAGGGUCCGAGCGUUGUCCGGAAUUACUGGGCGUAAAGAGCUCGUAGGUGGUUUGUCGCGUUGUCCGUGAAAACUCACAGCUCAACUGUGGGCGUGCGGGCGAUACGGGCAGACUGGAGUACUGCAGGGGAGACUGGAAUUCCUGGUGUAGCGGUGGAAUGCGCAGAUAUCAGGAGGAACACCCGUGGCUAAGGCGGCCCUCUAGUACGGUACUGACGCUGAGACGCGAAAGCGUGGGGAGCGAACAGG